This 447-nucleotide ribosomal RNA is filed under the name uncultured bacterium. Its description in RNAcentral is "bacterial SSU rRNA". It matches the Rfam family "Bacterial small subunit ribosomal RNA", at positions 355 to 825 of the family's 1533-position model. The record is from RNAcentral.
UGGGGAAUUUUGGACAAUGGGGGCAACCCUGAUCCAGCCAUGCCGCGUGAGUGACGAAGGCCUUAGGGUUGUAAAGCUCUUUUGGCGGGGAAGAUAAUGACGGUACCCGCAGAAUAAGCUCCGGCUAACUUCGUGCCAGCAGCCGCGGUAAUACGAAGGGAGCUAGCGUUGUUCGGAAUCACUGGGCGUAAAGCGCACGUAGGCGGAUUUGUCAGUCAGGGGUGAAAUCCCGGGGCUCAACCUCGGAACUGCCCUUGAUACAGCAAGUCUUGAGUUCGAGAGAGGUGGGUGGAAUUCCUAGUGUAGAGGUGAAAUUCGUAGAUAUUAGGAAGAACACCGGUGGCGAAGGCGGCCCACUGGCUCGAUACUGACGCUGAGGUGCGAAAGCGUGGGGAGCAAACAGGAUUAGAUACCCAAGUAGUCCCUGAGCGGGCUGGCAAGGCGCAU